This is a long non-coding RNA of Athene cunicularia (burrowing owl), 1292 nucleotides long. RefSeq lists it as uncharacterized. The record is from RefSeq and is a predicted model, not a curated record. The transcript has 3 exons. Lineage: Eukaryota; Metazoa; Chordata; Aves; Strigiformes; Strigidae.
CAAUUUCUCACUUUAAUUGUAAUUUAUUAUCAUUAAAAGUAACAAGUGGGUUUAAAUCCUUUUGUCUUAAAAACCCAGUGUAACACACAAGUCACUGCUACUGUUCUAUUAAACGUGUGGCAAAAUUGUAUCCCCAAAUCAUAUUAUUCUGCCUCAUCCUCACAGACAUCAAUGGUGUGGGACACAAACAACACAGAAACAGAUUGGUCGACACAGCAGUUGUCAUAAGGAUGAUCAUUAGGCCUCAAGAUGCUACAAGUUAUUCUGUAAGAGCUGUUAAGUAUAACUUUAGUUUCCCCCUUCGUUAAUACUGCUGGAACAAUUAGAUAUUUCACAGAGUUUUUGGCGAAGCCAUAAGAAUCUUUUAAGAACUGUAUUUUUCCCCUAUAUCUCCUCUUAGAUGCUGAAGUUUUCCUCUGUUUUUUUUUCACCCCUCAGUGACAUGGCUGCCCCAUUCCAGGAUACAAAACCAUAGUGACGUUUGCAGUCACUCUCCACACAGCACCAUAUAUUUCCUUUGCAUUCUGAAAUCAAUACUCAGCAAUAGCACUUACCUUUAACACUGCUGCCAGAACAGCUUGGCAGCACAUCAUUCAGGAGUACUACAUGCUAGUGUAUUAAUCUCCAGCUUCUUUGAAGUUCCAGAGAUUAAGUUAAACUCAAGUGGCAAGUAUCCAAUUUACUGCUAGUUCACAUUUGUGUAAAGAGGCAGGAGCCAGAUGCUGCGGACAGAUGCAUCUUCACAUUACAGCUGUUCAAGAAAGAACCUGAGCAAGUCAUAAUGCUGUUCAUCAGUGGCUUGCCGGUCCAAAAAAAGUCUCCACAAGCAAGUACACAUAUUAGUGAAAUGGAAGGAUGGUCCUAUUUCCAUCAAGCAUUUCAUGUGUUGAAUUUAAGCUUACAAUGUUACUCCAUAUUCAAAAGUAAUCAGAAGCCUCCGAGUGAAAACUUUCUGGCUAGCAGAAAUGUAGUGAAGGAAAAACCAGAAUACAGGAAAAAUUUAUAUAGCUACUCAGAUGUGCUUGUAUAUGAUUUCAGAAACACAAGAAGGUCUGUUCUUGAGGAGCUGACCCCUUGGGUAUUUCUGCCUGAACUUCACAGUAGCUUGUGGCAUUGAGAAGCUCAAUGAAAACAAACCAGUAAACAGCCUUACAUAUAUCUAUACCCACACUGGAUUUAGAAAGUCAUGGGAAAAAGUAUAAACAUUAUCAUAGGAUAAACGUAUGGAGAUCAACUACAUCAACAGAUUCUAUGAACAGACUCCAGUUUUUCACAAACAGCAGUUCUCACUC